Molecule: long non-coding RNA, 1724 nt
Organism: Cercocebus atys (sooty mangabey)
Lineage: Eukaryota; Metazoa; Chordata; Mammalia; Primates; Cercopithecidae
Exons: 5
Source: RefSeq, a predicted model, not a curated record
CUGGGUCUCAUUUUUUGUAGAGCUUGUCUUGAACUCCUGGUCCCAUUUUUUAUAGAGCUAGUCUUGAACUCUUCCUGCCAUGGCCUCCCAAAAUGCCAGAAUGAGCUAUGUGAGCCAUGCUUAUACCACUGGGCGUGAUGGUGGUUUGUUUUUUUUGUUUUUUUUUUUUUUUUGAUCACAGUGUGCUUCAAGGUAAAUACCACUUCAGCAUGAUACCCAUUUUUAUAAAGCUUAAAAAUAAAUAUGACAAAAUAAUAUAUUUUUAGAUAUGUGUAUAUUUAUACCUACACCUCCCCUCUCUAUACAUAGAUAUAUAUGUAGACUAUAAAGAAAAGCACAGGGGUUAUGAAUAUAACCUUCAGAAGAGUAGUCACCUCUGUGGUGAAGCAAGGGGACCGAAUCAGAGAAGAAAUUCCAGCAGUCCUGUAGCUUCGACAGGACUAGAAAUAUUUCAUUAUGCAUGAGGUGAUGGGUGUAUGGAUGUUAUUUAAUUGUAUGCUUCAUGACGUAGAUGCACAUCCCACUUUGAGAAUAUCUCCUAUAGAAACAAAGGACUUGUAUUUAAGAAUGUGUAAGAAAAAAGAGAAAAAGAAAUAUAAUUACUAUAUUGAGGUGGGAAAUUAAAGAAAGAAAAAUAAAAUUAAAAAGAAAAAGAAAUAAGCUUUCCUGUAUUAGGCUGACUUAUCCCAGAGGCAGCAACAGGCACAGCCCAGACCCAGGAAAAGUCUUGAUAAUACUAUCUAAGAAGCCAGGACACAAAGGAAUGUUUGUCUGGAGUCUGGAGACUCUCCCAGCACUCCCUUAACAUAGGGAGAAGAAAAACAAAUUUUCCUUUCUCUUAUGGUAUGAGUUUAUAGAUUCCUGUUCUCUGCAACUAGUGACUUCAAGUAUUGUUUUAUCUAAUCAGGGGAGUGAAGGUCAUGAGAAGCCUGAGCAGGCCUGAACUAUAGCCGUCUGGGCACCACAGCGAAGGUCAUGAGAGAAAUCAGUGCAAGGCUCUUGAGCAAAACCUAGCAGAAUGAAGGAACCACAGGAGAGACUUCUGGGAGGAGGCGCUGCCCAGCGAGCCUGGCACCAAGAGCAGGGCCUGGCGGGAGCUCUGCUCAGGCUUCAGCAUGGCCGUUUUGGUUGACUUCACUGGUUGAAACUGAAUUCCACCUCCAUGGUUUCCCCAAGAUAUGAGUAGGGGUCCAACCUCACUGGUGAGGGUCAGGAGCCAUAUCCUGGAUGUGGACACCCAGUCCUACUAGGAGCUGCUUCGAGAAGUUUUUCCCAGACAUGAAACUGCCUGAUGCCUUCAGUGAAGCAAGCAGGAGAGGCUCAAGUGAUCCUCCUAUAUCAGCCUCGUAUUUCAUGACACUGAAAUAGAGCAAUAAUUGAUGUAUUCAACUAUCCGCCUCUGCAUGAUGAUGUGAAAGUGCAAUUUUUCUCUUUGGCUUAAACCACGAAGAAAGGAAUUGGAUAAUCCACAUGAACAAAAGACAUGGAAAAUUUACCCACCAGAAUUUGCAGUAGAGAUUUUUUUUUAUUAGAAAUGACUUAUAGUUACGUUGUAGCUGGUAUCUGAUUAAGUGUAGUUCCCCCUUCCCCUUCUGGGAAAGAAUUAUGUUCUUUCCAACCCCUGCCACAUAGUUAUAUGUUCUAAAUCUUCCUUGAUGGUAUAUCUAUAUUUAUAUAGGUUUACAUAUGUUCUUGAUAAAGCUAUUAAAUAUAUAUAGAUAAAA